Molecule: long non-coding RNA, 597 nt
Organism: Nasonia vitripennis (jewel wasp)
Lineage: Eukaryota; Metazoa; Arthropoda; Insecta; Hymenoptera; Pteromalidae
Exons: 2
Source: RefSeq, a predicted model, not a curated record
UAUAUCAACUUAUACAAGCGUUCUGUACACAAACGCAAACUACCAUUGGAAUAAAAUUUAUAUUAUGGACUCUAAGCCAUUUACUCAAUAAACUUUACUUGAACUGUAUAUAGUAGUAGUGUAGUGUGUAUGUGUGAGAGUAUGUGUGUGUGUUCAAGACGGGAUUGUAAUAGACACAUCAGUUACACUUAUCAGCUACUGAGCCCGCACGCAGCUAGCACAAUCACGUAAAGAAGAAACAAAAGAAAUGCUAGUUUACUUUCGCUAUGUAUCGCAAGUCGAAUGCAAGCAAUACAAACUACGAAGAACUUUGGCCGCCAGUAUAGUGCGCAAUAGGCAUGAGACAACUAACGUAUAGAAGGCAGACCAGCCGCCGUAUUUCGUUGUGGCUGCGUCCACAAUUGAGCGUAUACGUUAGGGUUUACGUAGAACAUAACGCUUUGGGCAGUACUGUCAAUCCACUGUAACAGACUGCAGUUGAAACGAAGGAACACACCUGCUCAAAAUUUAACCUAUAAAAAUGUUUAAAUUUGAAUUGUAUGGUAAUAAAUUGUAAAAUUCUUUUUUCAAAUAAAAUUAUAAAAUUUUGUAAGAGAA